Molecule: ribosomal RNA, 367 nt
Filed under: uncultured bacterium
Lineage: Bacteria
Description: partial 16S ribosomal RNA
Rfam family: Bacterial small subunit ribosomal RNA
Source: RNAcentral
CCUACGGGUGGCAGCAGUAGGGAAUCUUCCACAAUGGGCGAAAGCCUGAUGGAGCAACGCCGCGUGGGUGAAGAAGGUCUUCUGAGCGUAAAACCCUGUUGUUAGAAAAGAAAGUGCGUGAGAGUAACUGUUCACGUUUCGACGGUAUCUAACCAGAACGGCACGGCUAACUACGUGCCAGCAGCCGCGGUAAUACGUAGGGGGCAAGCGUUGUCCGGAUUUAGUGGGCGUAAAGGGAACGCAGGCGGUCUGUUAAGGCUGAUGUGAAAGCCUUCGGCUUAACCCGAGUAGUGCAUUUGAAACUGGGCGACUUGAGUGCAGAAGAGGAGAGCGGAACUCGAUGUGUAGCGGUGAAAUGCGUAGAUAU